Molecule: ribosomal RNA, 167 nt
Filed under: Amblygobius decussatus (orange-striped goby)
Lineage: Eukaryota; Metazoa; Chordata; Actinopteri; Gobiiformes; Gobiidae
Description: partial 12S rRNA
Source: RNAcentral
CACCGCGGUUAUACGAGAGGCCCAAGUUGAUAGACACCGGUGUAAAGGUGGUUAAUGAAAAUAUACACUAAGGUUAAACAUCUUCAAUACUGUUAUACGUAACCGAAGACAGGAAAGACUACCACGAAAGUGACCUUAAUAAACAUGAAGCCACGAAAGCCAGGAGA